GGUUGAUCCUGCCAGUAGUCAUAUGCUUGUCUAAAAGAUUAAGCCAUGCAUGUCUAAGUAUAAACUGUUUAUACAAGUGAAACUGCGAAUGGCUCAUUAAAUCAGUUAUAAUUUAUUUGAUAGUACCCUUUACUACUUGGAUAACCGUGGUAAUUCUAGAGCUAAUACAUGCCUUUGAAAGUCCUGACCUUUACUGGGAGGGAUGCAGUUAUUAGAUACAAAACCAACCCGGGCAACCGGUUCUUUGGUGAUUCAUGAUAACUUUGCGAAUCGCAUAGCCUUUUGU
RNAcentral lists this ribosomal RNA (286 nucleotides) under uncultured eukaryote. RNAcentral describes it as "partial 18S ribosomal RNA". It matches the Rfam family "Eukaryotic small subunit ribosomal RNA", at positions 6 to 284 of the family's 1831-position model. The record is from RNAcentral.